CUACAGCCGAACAGAGCACACGGGCUAAAACUUUGUUAUCAAGGGCAGAGCGAAAACGGAGUUUACCAAGCUGUGGCGUCACAUAAACGCUGAGCAUCCACUCGACAGCGGUCAGGUUUUUAUAUGGGACGAAUCCAAAGACCAGGUCAGCGUUUCCAGAUCCCAGUGUAUUCCAGUGUUCACUGGACGGUGAGCCAACCCAAGAUCCUAGGGCCUGAUAUACAUACACACGUUGAUGGACUACAAUCCUCUACUGUACAAGUAGUACGGUAGGACAGACAAUUACACACACACACUCCUCAUUGGAAGGACUCUAUUGCAAUACACCCGUUUGUCAUGGGCCCCACCGGUACCAUUUGGACUUAAAAAAGACUAAUUGUUUAGUUGUGCACAAUUUUAUUUUAUUCUAUUUUUUUGCUACUUUGGGGGAAAUUUUUAUACUUGAAGUUCUGUUAAAACCUCUUGUAAUACUGUGUUGUUUACAAAAUUCUUUUAAAAGGCUUAACAUCACUA
Long non-coding RNA from Oreochromis aureus, 513 nucleotides. RefSeq lists it as uncharacterized. NCBI's taxonomy places the organism in Eukaryota, Metazoa, Chordata, Actinopteri, Cichliformes, Cichlidae. The record is from RefSeq and is a predicted model, not a curated record. The transcript is spliced from 3 exons.